AGCAGUCGCCACGGUAAUACGAACCGUCCGAACGUUAUUCGGAAUUACUGGGCUUAAAGCGCGUGUAGGCGGCCCGGUACGUCCGGUGCUGAAAUCCCCCGGCUUAACCGGGGAAGUGGCACGGAUACGACCGGGCUGGAGGGAGGUAGGGGGGUCUGGAACUUCCGGUGGAGCGGUGAAAUGCGUUGAGAUCGGAAGGAACGCCCGUGGCGAAAGCGAGGCCCUGGACCUUUUCUGACGCUGAGACGCGAAAGCCAGGGGAGCGAACGGGAUUAGAUACCCCAGUAGUCCCUGUCUCUUAUU
This 303-nucleotide ribosomal RNA is filed under the name uncultured bacterium. RNAcentral's name for it is "partial 16S ribosomal RNA". It matches the Rfam family "Bacterial small subunit ribosomal RNA", at positions 507 to 807 of the family's 1533-position model. The record is from RNAcentral.